GUGUCAUCGAGUCUUUGAACGCAUCUUGCACUCUCUGGUAUUCCGGAGAGUAUGUCUGUUGGAGUGUCAUGAAUUCUUCAACCCCAUCGUUUCUUGUAAACGUUUGGGUGCUUGGAUUCUGAGCGUUGCUGAUUAUUAGCUCGUUCGUAAUGCAUUAGCAUCCCGAUGACAAGUUUGGAUUGACUUGGCGUAAUAGACUAUUCGCUGAGGAGUAAGUGGGUCUCCCACUGAGCCAACUCGUUUCAGGAAGCUUCUAAUCCCAAAGUCUACCUUUUAGAUUCAGAUCUCCAAUCAGGCAGGAUUACCCGCUGACUUAAGCAUAUCAAUAAGCGGAGG
RNAcentral lists this ribosomal RNA (336 nucleotides) under uncultured fungus. RNAcentral describes it as "eukaryotic LSU rRNA". The stretch from base 1 to 69 matches the Rfam family "5.8S ribosomal RNA", at positions 86 to 154 of the family's 154-position model. The record is from RNAcentral. Lineage: Eukaryota; Fungi.